CCGAGUACCGGGUCUUCCAGGCCCUUACUCCCACCCUUUGUGAACCUACUAUUUUUCGUUGCCUUGGCGGGGUUGAUCCCUGGGCCUCGCGGCCCUGGGGGGACCUGCCAGGGGGACACCAUCGAAACUCUUGUCAACGGUGUAGUCUGAGAUAUAAAUUAAACAAGUUA
RNAcentral lists this unclassified non-coding RNA (170 nucleotides) under uncultured Dothideomycetes. RNAcentral describes it as "sequence contains ITS1". The record is from RNAcentral. Lineage: Eukaryota; Fungi; Ascomycota; Dothideomycetes.